GAUGAUCAGCCACACUGGGACUGAGACACGGCCCAGACUCCUACCGGGAGGCAGCAGUGGGGAAUAUUGCACAAUGGGCGAAAGCCUGAUGCAGCCAUGCCGCGUGAAUGAUGAAGGCCUUAGGGUUGUAAAAUUCUUUCGCUAGGGAUGAUAAUGACAGUACCUAGUAAAGAAGCCCCGGCUAACUUCGUGCCAGCAGCCGCGGUAAUACGAAGGGGGCUAGCGUUGUUCGGAAUUACUGGGCGUAAAGCGCACGUAGGCGGGUUAUUAAGUCAGAUGUGAAAUCCCAAGGCUCAACCUUGGAACUGCAUUUGAAACUGAUAGCCUAGAGAUCAGGAGAGGUUAGCGGAAUACCGAGUGUAGAGGUGAAAUUCGUAGAUAUUCGGUGGAACACCAGUGGCGAAGGCGGCUAACUGGACUGAUACUGACGCUGAGGUGCGAAAGUGUGGGGAGCAAACAGGAUUAGAUACCCUGGUAGUCCACACCGUAAACGAUGAGAGCUAGUUGUCUGCAGGCAUGCCUGUAGGUGACGCAGCUAACGCAUUAAGCUCUCCGCCUGGGGAGUACGGCCGCAAGGUUAAAACUCAAAGAAAUUGACGGGGGCCCGCACAAGCGGUGGAGCAUGUGGUUUAAUUCGAAGCAACGCGCAGAACCUUACCUACCCUUGACAUGCCCGGCUAUAUCCAGAGAUGGAUAGUUCCUUCGGGACCGGUGCACAGG
RNAcentral lists this ribosomal RNA (720 nucleotides) under uncultured Hyphomonadaceae bacterium. Its description in RNAcentral is "bacterial SSU rRNA". It matches the Rfam family "Bacterial small subunit ribosomal RNA", at positions 299 to 1038 of the family's 1533-position model. Lineage: Bacteria; Pseudomonadati; Pseudomonadota; Alphaproteobacteria; Hyphomonadales; Hyphomonadaceae. The record is from RNAcentral.